This is a long non-coding RNA of Brassica rapa (field mustard), 8828 nucleotides long. RefSeq lists it as uncharacterized. Lineage: Eukaryota; Viridiplantae; Streptophyta; Magnoliopsida; Brassicales; Brassicaceae. The record is from RefSeq and is a predicted model, not a curated record.
CAUGCAUAUUAUAAAAUUAAAUUUUUCUGUUUAAUUAAAUAAAAUUUAUUUUAAAAUAUUGAUACGAAAAAGAAAAUUUACAAUAUUGAUAAAAUUUUAUUUAAAAUACAAUUUCUAUUUAUCUGUUAAAAAAUAUUUUAAAUUUUUUACUGCACAUGGUGCAGGAAAACACUUAGUAAUAACUUAUUUUGUUAAAUGUAUUUGUUAGAUAUACAUAAAAGUUGUUGUUUUGUAAAUCAUAUCUUGCAUCAAUGAUAGUUUCAUAACUCAGGAAGGAUGAUCUAUUUUUUUACCAAAAAACAAGAAAAAAAAGGAAGGAUGAUCUUUAUUUCGGGCAAGUUCUUUUUUUUGCUGGGCAACAAAGGAAGGAUGAUCUAUUUUCAUAAAUACUCGACUCUAGAGGCUGGUCUUCUACGCAUAGAUUGACGAUUUUAGGCUGGUAGUAAACGUAUUCAUAGAGUAAUAUAAUGCUGCGAUAAAGGUUUAUAUCAAUAAAUAAACAAGUGACAAAAAUCCAGUAAUAUUUGGUGAGACGUGUUGGAACAUUUCUAAUGAGUCUGAAUUUAAGUAUCAAAAUAAAACCUACUGGGAAUGUGAUAAGUCAUUGUUGCAAAUGUUAAAAAAAAACAAAUAUAUUCUCAAUUCUAUUAUCGAUUGUAUUUAAUUAAAUAAGUAUAUUUUCUUUUUAUAUUAAUAGUACAAAAAUAUAAAAGACAUAUAUGUUACAACCUUACUCUUUCCAAUUUUUUUUUUUAAAUUACAUUAAUGCACAUCUUUCAUUUAUAAUGCAUACAUAUAUGAAUGUAGUGGAUGAAUUUUGUUCGAGCAACUACUCAUUAGUAAUGGAUACAAACUUAACUAAGAAUCAAUACAAUACUAAAAGGAGGAUAUAAUCCAUGGGGAGAGUGUCCACGUCCUCAAAAAAAAUCAACCAAUAAGAAACAACAUAUUUGCCACGUCAGAUUUGAUCUUAUGUCACUCUAGAUAAACCAGCCCAUUCGUCACUACCACUUCCCAUUCUCAGUUUGAGCGUAUACGUUCAACAUGUAAACCUCAUAAAGCUCAAAUAUUAAUUACAAAUAUCCUUGAAUCAUCGUCGGUUUCCAUUCCACCACCUCUACACCUUAUAUUGUCGCUUUGAUCGUCCCCAAAUCGCAGCCACCGCUCUCGCCGGAAACUUUCUCACCGCCUUCAACAGCGGGUCAUCCCGAUCUCUUCCGGCCAGUUGAAACCACUCCGACGGCAACCACACACCGACGUUGGGGAGCGCGACCCAUAGAAGCCUUUGUGGACCUCGCCGGAGUUGUGGAUCUCGCCGGGGCAAGCGCUAUCCACCGGCCAAUCUUGACUCGCCGUGUUUCCCUCCAAGCCGAUCUAUACCCGGAGCUGCUUGAUUCGACCUCCGCCGUUUCCGCUCAAAACAGAUCUAAGAAACCACUGCUUCGAUCUUGCUGUCCUCUAGCAAAACCAUGAAGAGGAGAGAACCAGAUCUGUGCUCGCUUCCAUAGCUUCAGCCGUUUCAUACGCAGAUCCGUCGGACUCCACACCACACACGGCCGGAGAAGGAGAGGGGGUUUCGGAGAAGACAAGCCCUCUCACACCGCGGCAGAAGCAUACACGGUGACUGUUGAAGAGAGAGGUUGGAGAAAAAAGUUUUUAGAGAGAGAGUCGACUGCAUAGCUUUCUUCUUCAGUGACGUUGUUCCUGGUUUGGGGCAAUCUGAGCAUCGGUAUUGAUCAAUUCGCUUUGAUUGAUCUCUUCAUAUGAAGCUUUCGGUGAGAACGUAAAACCCAUUGCUGCAGCGUUUUGAUGUCUUUAUCAGAGCUAGGGAUGACAGACGUACGGAUCAUGACUGUAGAGGUUUUCUUUAGUUAUCCGUCUUUUGAUUUGGGGAAUAAUGAUCAUGUAACAAUCAACCUGAGAGAAUGUUCUCCAUCUGAGCCUCACAUGGGAUUUACAGUUGAAGGUUUAGGUCAAAAUAAACACUAAGAGUCUGCCUAAUUCUCAACAGCCAUCAGGCAGGUGAGUAACUUUCACGAUUUGUUUUUGGAAAAGUUUGUGUUUGAUAAUGAAUUAGCAUCCAGAAAAGUCAACGAUGGGCUUGCCUUGAAACAGUUCCACGGGAGGGAAAAGGAUAAGAUGGAAUCCCAUGCAACACUGUUACUAACACUCCCGUAUUUAUAAACAUAAGGAUAUGUUAAGAGAUUUUUAUGCUCUCCACAAACUAAGCUUGACUCUACUCUUCUGAUAGGAACAUGAGAAACUUGAUUAAGCAACUGCAUGCAUAUUCAGGGGAGAGCCAACUGAAAGUUUUAUCACAUCAAGGGAUGACGAAUGACUGAAUGCACAAGUAAAAAGCUCUAAAUCAGCGCCAAAAACUUGGUGAGUGGUUAUCAAAAUUCGGACGUUAAAACUAUAUUUUCCAAGAUUUCUAAAAGACAAGAAAAAAAGACCUUAAAUAUGAGUUAUUUUUGUUUUUCAAAUCAGACAGAAAAUGUGUCUGUCAAGGUGAGAUAAUUGCUUGAAGCAUGAGAAUGUUCUUUGCGUUAAGAUCAUGUAUCAUUCGUCAUGUUUUGUCUUAUUUAUGUGCUAACGUAAAAGAAACUUGAAAUGAAAUAUACAGAACUAGCUUAUUUUGGUAAUAGAAACUGUCUGAAGAUGGUGGCAUUGUAAAGCUAAAGAUGGUAGCAAUGUAAAGCUAAUAUGCUAUUCGUAUACUGGAAACAAAUUUUGCAAUCAAGAAACAAAGGGAAGAUAGACUUUUCUUUUUUAUCAACAAGGGGAAGAUAUACAUAACGGUCAUUAAAAUGGAAAGUAUAUAAAUAUACAAUGAAAUGAAAAUACUAUAGAUAAAAGACAAAAAUGAAAAGUCAGCCGAUAAGAAAUGAUGAUACAAAAUAUAAGAUAAAUAAAGUAUUUAGUUUAUGGCAUGAAAAGACAGUGGUCGAAAAGAGUCUUAAGAAUGGGAUACAUGGUUAAAAAUCAUUAGAAUUUAUUUAGGUAAGCCUUUUAAUACCAUAUAAUUUGAAACAUAUGAAACUUGGCAUAUAUAUGAUUUUCUUUAAGGUUAUUUAUUGCAUCACUAAGCGGCAAGUUUAAUCUUACAUAUCCACAUUUGCUUGGAUGAGUGACGUUAUAAUCUUUGUGAGAUGGCCGUCUGAUUCAUUUUAGCUUUGUUUCACGGUAAAGUUGGUUUAAAAAUGACAGCCAAAAAAUUUAUAGAAUUGGCUGAAUUUAACAUUGUGAAAAUACAAUGAAAUGAUUUUAUAUAAUUUAAUAUAAAAGUAUGCGCAUAAAAUAACGAAAUACAAAAUAAAAGAUAAAUAAUAGUAGGAAUAAAUAAAAUAAUAACAAUACUUUCUAAUACUAUUAUUCAAAAUAAUAUCAAAUAAAUAAGAUCAAUUAACAAACUAUGUUAUGCAAUAGAUCUACUAAUUUUUAGCAAUCAAUUAGUAACUAAAUUAUCAAAUUGUGUAGCAUAUUUCAAAUAUUAUACGAAUCCAUCUAUUCAGCAUAUAAAUUGUAAAAGUAAACAAACGUUACUAAUCUUACAAUAAAAUAAUAUUAAUUAAUUAUAUUAACUAAUUUUUAUCUAUAGAAAUUUAUGUAUACUUCGAUAUUACAUUCACUGCUACAAAUUGUAAGUUAAUUUGAUUAGUCAUAAUACUAUAUCAAAUACUUAAGAUUAUAUAUACUCAUAUUUUAAAAAAAUAAAAUAGUAAUUAAAUACUUAAGAUCAUAUAUACUCAUAAUUCAUUAUACUCAAUUUUUGUAUUUAUUAUCUUUCAAAGAUAUUAAAUAUUAUUUCAAUUUACCAAAAAUCUUACACUAUUAAAAGGAGAAUAUGAAGCUUUCUUAAGCUGUCCACGUCAGCGAAAAAAUUUGUAACCAAUCAUUUAUCCAUGUCAUCGUGGAUGUUAAGUUGUUGGGCCACGAAUCUGUGCUGCGUAAUAGGCUCUUUAACUUUAAUGACUCAUUUGUUUUGUCAUCUUUUUACUCCAACCUAAUUUUGUUACGACGUCUACAGAAGACCUUCCAGAACUCACAGUCUUCCUAUCUCCUCCGUAUAACGCCUGCGACAGCUAUAGUGACGAAUUAAAGCUACUUAACUCCUCCAAAUAAAUCGGCGUUUAACUCUCCACAUCCCUCAUCUUACUCUAUCAUAAUGAUGCCUUCUCAAGCCAAAAAUCCAUUGCUCAGAUCCUCAAAUCCGUUCCUAACUUUAUGGCAAAUCAAACAGCAGUCACCACCACUCAAGCUCCUUCUCCACUUUUCUUCAGUAAGGUUUCACCAGGACCUUGAGAUUCCCAGUUGCUUUUUAAGCAAAUCCAUUUCUGUGAAGCUCGCAAUAAUUUCAAAGAAGGCAUCUUUCUCGGCCUUGAGAUGCUGAUGAUUGAUGAAGAGGUACGUGUCCAUAUUUCAAUAUUAUGCUUCAGAUUUCAUACACGUUUCUGGUUUUUUCUAAUUAACAAGAUUUUAUCCUGAAACUCAACACCUAAGAAUUUUUAAUGUUAAGAGAUAAUUUUUAAGAUUAGUUAAAUAAGUGACCAUCUGUGAAUAUGUUAAUGGUUCUCAAUAUCCUUUUAUGUAGUAACUAAAUACAAAAUUGUUCAUAUUGAAAUUUACUACAUAUUUCAUAUUUUUAUAACAAAUAAUUAUUUACAAAAUAAUAAAUACCAAAAAGUUUAAUAUUGAAAAUAAAUUAUGGCUUCAAAACUUAAAAAUUGUUGAAUCAUUUUAUUGGUUAUCAAAAUUUACAGAUUUAAGUAUUCAAAAUUAUUACACAUUUAUAAAAUUAUAUAUUUAUAUGAAAUAAAUGUUAUUUACCUAUACUUCAAAAAAGAAUUCAAAAUCAAGCAGACGAUAUAUAAGAAAAUAUAUAAUAUACAUAAGAUGAUAAAAUUUUUAUUUUAUUUUAUUAAAUAUAGAGUAUUUUAAAUUUUAAAAGAUUUAAACAUAGUUGCGAAAAGAUUAAUAGAGACAUUUAAUAUGUUAAUAUAAAUUAAUGAUAUUUCAAACAAAAAAUAUAUCGAAACAAAUAAAUGAUAUAAUAUAAAAAAACAAACUUAAUUUUUUUUAAAAAAUCUAAGGUUUAAUGUUUAUAGAACCGCGCGUAGCGCGGUAAAAUCUCUAGUUAUUCAUAAGAAUGGAAUGAAACCAUUAAUAAUGCACUUAUAAUCAUAUUUAUUAUAGUAUGGUUCAAACAACCUUUUAUUUUUGGUUUAUAAAUUGGAUGUAGAUUUGUACAUAUAUUUUCUUAAUGAACAUAAAGAUCGUCUGAUCAUAUCUUGUUCAUGCAAUGUUAUCACUAACAUUACAGAGAUAACAAAUAUCUGAGAUGUAAAUAUAUAAUACUUAAAUAAAUAUAAGAAAUGUCAUAUUUUUUGUUGACCAGCGUAAAUUUUUUUUCUCUUACAAAAUGGAAUACAAUAUUAACAAAUCUUUAAAGUAAUGAAACUAUCGAAUAGAUCGACAUAUGGUUUGGUUCAACUGGCUGAAUUUACUUUGUUAGAUAUACUAUUAGUAUUCCGGCGGUACGCGCCGGGUUUGUAUAUUUUAUUUUAAUGAAUUUUAAAUCGAUUCUAUAGUCUUACUAAAUAGAAUAUUUUUAAAUAUACGAAGAAACAAAUAUGUUGAAAGAGAAUAAUAAUUUAUCCGUUCUGUUUGAUAUUGUUUUCAUCGAUCAAUUCAAUGAAAUCUAAUAUAUAUAUAUAUAUAUAUAUAUUUGCCUUGUGUUCUAUUCUCAGGCGUCCACGUCAGCAAGGAGGAGGGAGCUUUUUUGGACACGUGUUCAGCUCUUUGUUUUAUCGUUUUCGUUUGAUUUUUUACAUUAGAAAUCUUUGUUUGUUACUAACAUUAGUAAAACUAUAAUCUUAACCAAGUUGCAGGAGCAAUUCAUUUCAAAUGUAAUUGCUAUAGUGAUGUUAUUGUAAAUUUGUCAUACUGAUCAAACGUAAAGUAUAGUACAAUUUUUAUAUAUAUCUUUUUUUUUGUUAAAGGGUUUUGUAUAAUGAUAUAUGUUUUAAUAGUUUUAAAUUAUUUUUGGUGUUUUAGUAAAACUUUUUUAUCAAACAUAUAAAGAUAUUUAAAUUUAUUUCAAUUCUUGUAUUAGUUGUCUUUAGAUUUUUUAAAAAAUAAGAAAAAAUUGAAUACAUAUACAAUAUAUUUUUGCCUUUUAUGUAAAUGGAUCUUUUGACCUUUUUAUUAAUCUUUGUUGCUUUUGAUCGAAUUUUUAACACUUGGAUAUUAUGUUCCUAAAUUUUAGAAAGAUAUACAAUGAAUUUCCAAUGCAAUAUAAACAAAUUGAACAUUAUUAAUCACAGGUGAUCUAAAAUACUAUAAUAUCAAUGAAAAAUGCAUUAGAAUCAAGACUAAAAUACAAAAAAUAUUUUAUUUCUUUCAUUUGAUAGAACAUUUUUGAUUGUUUUCCAACAACAUACAUGUAUGAUUUAAUGUACUCCAAUUUCAGCGAGAUAAUAAUUUAGGAGAAGAAACCGAGCCUCUCGAUUGAGGGAGACCGUAACCAAAGUCACGAUCAGUCUAAGGUUGAAAUCUGGAUGAUCUUUUUGCUAGACCCGCUGGUUCGAGUCCAGCUCGUGACAAAAGGCUUUGAUCAGACUAAAAUAUAUAAUCAUAUUAUACUUAUACCAUUUGAUAGAACAUAGUUUCACAAAUACUAUUAUUUAAGCUUCAUAUGCAUAUAUUAAGGGUAUUCAUAUAUGCACCAAGAGUAAAUCUGCUACUCAAACUAAUAGAUUAUUUUAUUUCUGUUAUAUUUCAAAUUUUGGAGGCUGAAAUACAAUUUAUGCAUGAGUAUUGAUAUUUUAUAUGAUUUUAAUUGUUUUUGUUUGAUUUUAGAAUCAUUUUAUUAUAUUUAAAUAUUUACGCUAUGAGGAUUGUUUUAAUUUUCUAUUUUAGAAAUUGUUCAAUGAAAUAACGAUUGAUUUAAAGUAUAACAUCUGAAUUGUUUAUUAUUUGAACAUACAAAAACAAUUAGUUACACUGAAAUGAGAGACAAAUUGGUUCUAAAAUUUGGAUAUUUUUAUAGAACAAUCAUAUAGAUUACCUUUAUAUGUUUGCUAUUUCUGCUCAUACGAACAUAUAUUUGAUGUAAUUUAUCAUAAAUAUGUAUAAUAUGUAUAUUAUGAGUAUGUAUGCAACACUAAUCAGUUAUUGGGCUUGAUUCUUGUUUAGAAGAAAGAUUGUUGGAAAGAGGAAGCAUAAGACGUUCUUUCAUUGAACUCAAAUGUUUAUUAGUUUUCUUAAUUAUGUUUUGUACGUUUAUAUAAAAAAAGAGAGUUAAAGGUAAACUAAAAUUAUCGUUGUAUACUUGUAAUGUGUCAUCAUCCUUUAUCUGAUAAUUGUUUAUAAAUUAAUCCUUUCUUAAUUUGAUCUCUGUUGGUUGGAACUUUGGGGCUUUAGAUUUUAGACCAGGAUAAGAUUUAUUCGCAAAGUUGAAAAUGUUAAGAAAAACAAAGUGUAUCCGACUUUAACUUGUUUAUUAAGUCAGUAUAUAUUAUGCACUACAAAUAAGAAGUUUCAUGUUUCUCAGAUUAGUCAUAGCAAGCCGAUCUCCUUUCUAGAUCAUCCACUUCAGUAGAUUGCAAGAAACAAAGUUUUAGUAUAAAUCACCUAGGGUUAUUUUCUAAGACAUAUUUAGCAAAACUUUUUAAGAAAAGCAAACCUUAAAUGCAACACAAAACACUAAUCUCAUCAAGCACCUAUGAGAUCGAUACAAAGGAAUGAGCUACUUAGAAGAAGCUUGAAGAAAACCAAUGAAAAGUGUGCGAGUAUGAAUCUUGUGAUUGAAAAAGCAAAUAACUACAUGGUUUAGUGAGAUAUUCAGUUUUAUUUUCAUCUUCUCUUCGUCAACUCCAUCAGUAACCUCUGACAUCAUCGCUUUCAAUAAACACUAUAAACAAAACAAACAUGACACAGUCAAUCUUUGUGAUUACCCAUGAUUUCAGAGUAUUAUGGUCCUAGAAAUGAAUGUAGUUUUUGUUUUGCGCGCGUCAUGUCCAGUUGUGCAUAAAGCUUUUGGAAUUCGUUGAUCACUUUUGCUUGAUCCAUAGAUGAGAUUUUCUGAAAAUGUGAGAAACAGAGCAAGGUAUGAGAAUAUCAAUUGUGCUAAGAUUUUCUUUUGCUACACCUUUUAGCUACCAUAUCGUUAAGAUAUAAUUUCCUCGUAGAAGUAAGUUUCCAGAGAUAAGAACACAUAUCAUGUGUAGCCACAACCAUUUCUUGCUUGAAAGUGCGGAAAACAUCUGCUUGAAGAGAAGCAGGAACUGACUCAAUUACAAAGACACGAGACCAUAGUUUCUCCUGACAAUCGAUUUCUGGCAAUAAAGGCAUCCACGACCUUUCAUACAUUGUGGAUAAAGAUCAUAUGCAGUCGUACCUACCCAACAUAGAACAAAGCCCUAAAUCUCUCAGAACGAAGAUUAUGAUUUAGAUUUCCAGAUAAAGAAGAUUUCCAUUCAGGUGUUUGGUUUGAGAGUGGAAAGUACAUGUUCUUCAAGGAGAUAGUACCUGGUGAGGGUGGCUAUGAUAAGUUUAGGCUUCAGGGAGAAUAAUUGAAGUCUCCGAAAUUCCAUAGUAGGUCUAAUAAAUCAGAGGCCGAAGAACAAUACGAACCCUAGAAUUGGAGUUGAGGUUCUUGAAGACGAAGAGUUUGACUAUCGAUUUCAGUUAGUACACUUAGGAAACGUCGUAAGCCCAUCGCAAUUAAAUCUCCGAAGCCCAAAAAAAAAAAUCAAACGAAAACGAUAAAAACAAAGAGCUGGACACAUGUCCAAAAAACUUCCUCCUCCUUGCUGACGUGGACGCCU